Molecule: ribosomal RNA, 232 nt
Filed under: uncultured bacterium
Lineage: Bacteria
Description: partial 16S ribosomal RNA
Rfam family: Bacterial small subunit ribosomal RNA
Source: RNAcentral
GAUCAUGGCUCAGGAUGAACGCUAGCGACAGGCCUAACACAUGCAAGUCGAGGGGCAGCGAAGAGGUAGCAAUACCUCUGUCGGCGACCGGCGCACGGGUGAGUAACACGUAUGCAAUCCACCUGUAACAGGGGGAUAACCCGGAGAAAUCCGGACUAAUACCCCCAUAAUAUGGGCGCUCCGCAUGGAGAGUCCAUUAAAGAGAGCAAUUUUGGUUACAGACGAGCAUGCG